This 492-nucleotide ribosomal RNA is filed under the name uncultured bacterium. RNAcentral describes it as "partial 16S ribosomal RNA". It matches the Rfam family "Bacterial small subunit ribosomal RNA", at positions 29 to 507 of the family's 1533-position model. The record is from RNAcentral.
AGUGAACGCUGGCGGUAGGCCUAACACAUGCAAGUCGAACGGCAGCACAGUAAGAGCUUGCUCUUACGGGUGACGAGUGGCGGACGGGUGAGGAAUACAUCGGAAUCUACUUUUUCGUGGGGGAUAACGUAGGGAAACUUACGCUAAUACCGCAUACGACCUACGGGUGAAAGCAGGGGAUCUUCGGACCUUGCGCGAUUGAAUGAGCCGAUGUCGGAUUAGCUAGUUGGCGGGGUAAAGGCCCACCAAGGCGACGAUCCGUAGCUGGUCUGAGAGGAUGAUCAGCCACACUGGAACUGAGACACGGUCCAGACUCCUACGGGAGGCAGCAGUGGGGAAUAUUGGACAAUGGGCGCAAGCCUGAUCCAGCCAUACCGCGUGGGUGAAGAAGGCCUUCGGGUUGUAAAGCCCUUUUGUUGGGAAAGAAAAGCAGCAGGUUAAUACCCCGCCGUUCUGACGGUACCCAAAGAAUAAGCACCGGCUAACUUCGUG